UUAAGCGACUAAGCGUACACGGUGGAUGCCCUGGCAGUCAGAGGCGAUGAAGGACGUGCUAAUCUGCGAUAAGCGUCGGUAAGGUGAUAUGAACCGUUAUAACCGGCGAUUUCCGAAUGGGGAAACCCAGUGUGAUUCGUCACACUAUCAUUAACUGAAUCCAUAGGUUAAUGAGGCGAACCGGGGGAACUGAAACAUCUAAGUACCCCGAGGAAAAGAAAUCAACCGAGAUUCCCCCAGUAGCGGCGAGCGAACGGGGAGGAGCCCAGAGCCUGAAUCAGUGUGUGUGUUAGUGGAAGCGUCUGGAAAGGCGCGCGAUACAGGGUGACAGCCCCGUACACAAAAUGCACAUGCUGUGAGCUCGAUGAGUAGGGCGGGACACGUGGUAUCCUGUCUGAAUAUGGGGGACCAUCCUCCAAGGCUAAAUACUCCUGACUGACCGAUAGUGAACCAGUACCGUGAGGGAAAGGCGAAAAGAACCCCGGCGAGGGGAGUGAAAAAGAACCUGAAACCGUGUACGUACAAGCAGUGGGAGCCUCUUUUAUGGGGUGACUGCGUACCUUUUGUAUAAUGGGUCAGCGACUUAUAUUCUGUAGCAAGGUUAACCGAAUAGGGGAGCCGAAGGGAAACCGAGUCUUAACUGGGCGUUAAGUUGCAGGGUAUAGACCCGAAACCCGGUGAUCUAGCCAUGGGCAGGUUGAAGGUUGGGUAACACUAACUGGAGGACCGAACCGACUAAUGUUGAAAAAUUAGCGGAUGACUUGUGGCUGGGGGUGAAAGGCCAAUCAAACCGGGAGAUAGCUGGUUCUCCCCGAAAGCUAUUUAGGUAGCGCCUCGUGAAUUCAUCUCCGGGGGUAGAGCACUGUUUCGGCAAGGGGGUCAUCCCGACUUACCAACCCGAUGCAAACUGCGAAUACCGGAGAAUGUUAUCACGGGAGACACACGGCGGGUGCUAACGUCCGUCGUGAAGAGGGAAACAACCCAGACCGCCAGCUAAGGUCCCAAAGUCAUGGUUAAGUGGGAAACGAUGUGGGAAGGCCCAGACAGCCAGGAUGUUGGCUUAGAAGCAGCCAUCAUUUAAAGAAAGCGUAAUAGCUCACUGGUCGAGUCGGCCUGCGCGGAAGAUGUAACGGGGCUAAACCAUGCACCGAAGCUGCGGCAGCGACACUGUGUGUUGUUGGGUAGGGGAGCGUUCUGUAAGCCUGUGAAGGUGUACUGUGAGGUAUGCUGGAGGUAUCAGAAGUGCGAAUGCUGACAUAAGUAACGAUAAAGCGGGUGAAAAGCCCGCUCGCCGGAAGACCAAGGGUUCCUGUCCAACGUUAAUCGGGGCAGGGUGAGUCGACCCCUAAGGCGAGGCCGAAAGGCGUAGUCGAUGGGAAACAGGUUAAUAUUCCUGUACUUGGUGUUACUGCGAAGGGGGGACGGAGAAGGCUAUGUUGGCCGGGCGACGGUUGUCCCGGUUUAAGCGUGUAGGCUGGUUUUCCAGGCAAAUCCGGAAAAUCAAGGCUGAGGCGUGAUGACGAGGCACUACGGUGCUGAAGCAACAAAUGCCCUGCUUCCAGGAAAAGCCUCUAAGCAUCAGGUAACAUCAAAUCGUACCCCAAACCGACACAGGUGGUCAGGUAGAGAAUACCAAGGCGCUUGAGAGAACUCGGGUGAAGGAACUAGGCAAAAUGGUGCCGUAACUUCGGGAGAAGGCACGCUGAUAUGUAGGUGAAGUCCCUCGCGGAUGGAGCUGAAAUCAGUCGAAGAUACCAGCUGGCUGCAACUGUUUAUUAAAAACACAGCACUGUGCAAACACGAAAGUGGACGUAUACGGUGUGACGCCUGCCCGGUGCCGGAAGGUUAAUUGAUGGGGUCAGCGCAAGCGAAGCUCUUGAUCGAAGCCCCGGUAAACGGCGGCCGUAACUAUAACGGUCCUAAGGUAGCGAAAUUCCUUGUCGGGUAAGUUCCGACCUGCACGAAUGGCGUAAUGAUGGCCAGGCUGUCUCCACCCGAGACUCAGUGAAAUUGAACUCGCUGUGAAGAUGCAGUGUACCCGCGGCAAGACGGAAAGACCCCGUGAACCUUUACUAUAGCUUGACACUGAACAUUGAGCCUUGAUGUGUAGGAUAGGUGGGAGGCUUUGAAGUGUGGACGCCAGUCUGCAUGGAGCCGACCUUGAAAUACCACCCUUUAAUGUUUGAUGUUCUAACGUGGACCCGUGAUCCGGGUUGCGGACAGUGUCUGGUGGGUAGUUUGACUGGGGCGGUCUCCUCCUAAAGAGUAACGGAGGAGCACGAAGGUUGGCUAAUCCUGGUCGGACAUCAGGAGGUUAGUGCAAUGGCAUAAGCCAGCUUGACUGCGAGCGUGACGGCGCGAGCAGGUGCGAAAGCAGGUCAUAGUGAUCCGGUGGUUCUGAAUGGAAGGGCCAUCGCUCAACGGAUAAAAGGUACUCCGGGGAUAACAGGCUGAUACCGCCCAAGAGUUCAUAUCGACGGCGGUGUUUGGCACCUCGAUGUCGGCUCAUCACAUCCUGGGGCUGAAGUAGGUCCCAAGGGUAUGGCUGUUCGCCAUUUAAAGUGGUACGCGAGCUGGGUUUAGAACGUCGUGAGACAGUUCGGUCCCUAUCUGCCGUGGGCGCUGGAGAACUGAGGGGGGCUGCUCCUAGUACGAGAGGACCGGAGUGGACGCAUCACUGGUGUUCGGGUUGUCAUGCCAAUGGCACUGCCCGGUAGCUAAAUGCGGAAGAGAUAAGUGCUGAAAGCAUCUAAGCACGAAACUUGCCCCGAGAUGAGUUCUCCCUGACCCUUUAAGGGUCCUGAAGGAACGUUGAAGACGACGACGUUGAUAGGCCGGGUGUGUAAGCGCAGCGAUGCGUUGAGCUAACCGGUACUAAUGAACCGUGAGGCUUAACCUU
Molecule: ribosomal RNA, 2899 nt
Filed under: Escherichia coli DEC5B
Lineage: Bacteria; Pseudomonadati; Pseudomonadota; Gammaproteobacteria; Enterobacterales; Enterobacteriaceae
Description: bacterial LSU rRNA
Rfam family: Bacterial large subunit ribosomal RNA
Source: RNAcentral